AACUACCUGCAUCAGCUUCCGACACAUUCCACCGCCAGAGGCGCUUAAAGUAUGCCUUAACUCUAUCGGAAACUAAUGGAAACUAUUAAAUGUUCCAUUAAAUUCCAACAGAUGGCGACAUGAUAGCGUAAACAAGCUUACAGUCAUUGCACCAAAUUAGGGAAGAAAACAUUUUAUGAAUUUUUGCUUCUGAUUUAAUUUGAAAUGACAUUUUUUGUACACCUUUCAUUGCAUUGUUUUAAAAAUUUAUUGUGUUUUUCAUAAAACGAAACACAUGCUAUUAUUUUUGUAAGAAAUGAGCCUUUCAUGAUUAUAUACUUGAUUGAAUAUUUCAUUUUGUUCUGAAAACGGUGCAGUACGGUAAAGAUGCGGAAAAAAAAUUUGACAGCUCAUUUGUGUGAGCCGAUGAGCACCAUCACAGCACUGCAGUCGUGAUCGCCAGCCAUGGAACACAAUGUAAAUAAAUAAAUCGAAAUUUUAUCGCGAGUUUACAAUAAAAUUUCGUAAUUCUGGGCCUGGAGACGAUGGGAUCGUACGAGGUGGAUCUUUUUCGUAAAAAGAGAAGUUUCCGCAGGAGGAAAGCAGAUCGAUCAAAAACUACCUCCACGGACCGCACGGAAUCUAAGCGAUAAAAUCGACCAACCAGAAGAUCACAGAAGUGCAGGAAAAGUUAAUCCAGGAACGGACCAAGUUUAAUUGAAAGUACGAAGCCGACGUAAUGAAGUUUUCGCAUGAUCCGGAGCUGAUGUAGUUUCCGCCGACGAUGCUCAAGGCUUUUGUCGUGGGUUAGUUUGUAUUUUUCCGGUGAAAUCCGUGGCAAACACGCUGCUUGACAGAGCAUAAACAGUACGUGGUACGCAAUGUUGAGUGCGUGUUCGUCAGUUCAAUGACAGCCUAGGAUUAUGCUUCAGAAUUUUUGCAUCUAAACCGAUUCAUUCGACGAUGACUUCUGAUAGUCCAGCUCCUGGUAUAAGCGAAUUAGCAAAGAAAAAGAGAUUCUUGUUGCUGAAUUAAAGCAACCAAUAAACAAUAUAUUUAAUACCAA
Molecule: long non-coding RNA, 1045 nt
Organism: Aedes albopictus (Asian tiger mosquito)
Lineage: Eukaryota; Metazoa; Arthropoda; Insecta; Diptera; Culicidae
Exons: 2
Source: RefSeq, a predicted model, not a curated record